GGGGGUGAUCGGCUUCGACGUUGAUUGCGAAACCUCAGGAGCAUGCCGAGGUGUAGGGUUCCUCGUAAAUCCAUCUACAACACAAUAGUUGCCAACGACGACAACUACGCACUGGUAGCCUAGACGCUGCUAGUCCUUUCGCCGGACUUGCCUGUAGGUCCGGAUUUGAAGGGUCAAAUCAUACAGGAUCGCUCGCCGGUUGCGCCUGUUGACCGGCUGCUAAAGGUAAGCGGGCUCGCCUUGCGGUUCAGUCUGUCCGACGACUGGAUGCAGGGUUAAAUCAAGGUGCGGACUAAGCAUGUAGCCGCCUGUGGCGUAGAAUUUGCGGACGCGGGUUCAAUUCCCGCCACCUCCACCA
This 358-nucleotide transfer-messenger RNA is filed under the name Arenicellales. RNAcentral describes it as "VYGS01 sp009841725 Standard tmRNA". It matches the Rfam family "transfer-messenger RNA". Rfam says of the family: Bacterial tmRNA, also known as 10Sa RNA or SsrA, is named for its dual tRNA and mRNA-like properties. The record is from RNAcentral. Lineage: Bacteria; Pseudomonadati; Pseudomonadota; Gammaproteobacteria. RNAcentral also lists the same sequence under 1 other name.